Non-coding RNA from Gossypium raimondii (Peruvian cotton), 146 nucleotides. The record is from Rfam. Lineage: Eukaryota; Viridiplantae; Streptophyta; Magnoliopsida; Malvales; Malvaceae.
GGUUAAAAAUUUCAUCUAUUUGUACUGUUUUAACCUGACAUGACUGACGAAAUAACUAAAUCAUAACACAUGAUGUGCUAUAUGUAUCUCAUGCUGAUAUACAGGGACAAGUUUUUAACAGUAAAAAUGGAUAAAAAAUUUUAACA